This 448-nucleotide ribosomal RNA is filed under the name uncultured bacterium. Its description in RNAcentral is "bacterial SSU rRNA". It matches the Rfam family "Bacterial small subunit ribosomal RNA", at positions 330 to 795 of the family's 1533-position model. The record is from RNAcentral.
GCCAGACUCCUACGGGAGGCAGCAGUGGGGGAUAUUGCACAAUGGGGGAAACCCUGAUGCAGCGACGCCGCGUGAGUGAAGAAGUAUUUCGGUAUGUAAAGCUCUCUCAGCAGGGAAGAAAAUGACAGUACCUGACCAAGAAGCCCCGGCUAACUACGUGCCAGCAGCCGCGGUAAUACGUAGGGGGCAAGCGUUAUCCGGAUUUACUGGGUGUAAAGGGAGCGUAGACGGUUAUGUAAGUCUGGAGUGAAAGCCCGGGGCCCAACCCCGGGACUGCUCUUGGAACUGCGUGGCUGGAGUGCAGGAGGGGCAGGCGGAAUUCCUGGUGUAGCGGUGAAAUGCGUAGAUAUCAGGAGGAACACCGGUGGCGAAGGCGGCCUGCUGGACUGCAACUGACGUUGAGGCCCGAAAGCGUGGGGAGCAAACAGGAUUAGAUACCCCGGUAGUA